Molecule: long non-coding RNA, 556 nt
Organism: Alosa sapidissima (American shad)
Lineage: Eukaryota; Metazoa; Chordata; Actinopteri; Clupeiformes; Clupeidae
Exons: 3
Source: RefSeq, a predicted model, not a curated record
AGAGCCUCAUCCUCCACGGGACUGACCACCUCGGCCACUGCAUCUGCCGAGAGAGGGAAACAUGUCAAUCAAUCAGUGAUGGUUACUCUGAAAUGACUGUACUGUGGUUAAAAAAUGAGAAGCUUUGAUGGGCUAGAGUUCUAAGAACGUGCCAAGUCACAGAGGAUUCCAGAACACUCCAGCUCUCAACACACAGAGCUUCUACACAACAUCUCGAGGAUAUCGCAUUCCAGAAUUGGCUCAAAUCGAGACUUUCCAACCCUGAGUUGCCUGAGAGUGUGUAGGCCAAAAACGAACAUAGCACUCUCAGACAGCCAUACUCAAAUUACAGCUCCUUGAAUGGAAAUGCUUAAGCAUAGACUAUUUGAGGGGUAACCUUGUAUACUGUAAAGGCAUCACCGGACUUCUUAAAAAGAAUGAGGCCAAAUGGUCAACACAGGAUGGCAGGUGAUCUUCAGCAACUCAUUCCAAGGGUUUUGCAACCCAUUCAACACUUAACAUUCACCCGGAACAAAAUGGAACAUUGUAACCUCUCAGAUGUACUCAAUGUACUCAA